RNAcentral lists this ribosomal RNA (250 nucleotides) under uncultured bacterium. RNAcentral's name for it is "partial 16S ribosomal RNA". It matches the Rfam family "Bacterial small subunit ribosomal RNA", at positions 524 to 773 of the family's 1533-position model. The record is from RNAcentral.
UACGGAGGGUCCAAGCGUUAUCCGGAUUCAUUGGGUUUAAAGGGUUCGUAGGCGGAUAGAUAAGUCAGUGGUGAAAUCCCGAAGCUCAACUUCGGAACUGCCAUUGAAACUGUUUAUCUUGAAUUUAGUUGAAGUAGGCGGAAUAUGACAUGUAGCGGUGAAAUGCAUAGAUAUGUCAUGGAACACCAAUUGCGAAGGCAGCUUACUAAGCUAAUAUUGACGCUGAUGAACGAAAGCAUGGGUAGCGAAC